Molecule: non-coding RNA, 612 nt
Organism: Peromyscus maniculatus bairdii (prairie deer mouse)
Lineage: Eukaryota; Metazoa; Chordata; Mammalia; Rodentia; Cricetidae
Source: RefSeq, a predicted model, not a curated record
GGAAAAGGAAGCAGAGUCAAAGGAGAUGCUGAGCACUGCUGGAGGAGCAAGAUGUGUUGGAACACAGGAGGAAGCAUGAUGCUGCUAGGAAGUCCAAGGCCUUGUUAUUCCCCCAGUGGAUGAGCUCACUGGAACCUCAUUGCUACCCUAAGAACUAUAAUUCCAUCUCACAGUGAGGAGAUCGGAUCAUAGAGAAGGGAAGCGCGAGGUCCACACUAAAUCGAUGCUUAAAGACCACAGGUAUUAAUGGCGAAUCGUGCAUAUCGUUUCAAGGCUUCAACUCCUCAGUCGAAAUCUCGUGCUGGCAUGCUAUGGGACCAAAUGGCUCUGGAGACCCAUAAGGAAAUAAUGAGCCUUUCAUCUGGAGGUCACUGGCUGGGAUCUGCUAUCGUUCAUUAAUGACGCAGCUGCGCUCAACCUCCUGUUGCAGGAACGGUGGCAGGGCUGUGCUGUGCAAGGGGAGCAGAAAUAUGUGUAAGAUCAUUUCAUUUAUGGGCAGGACCUAUGGCAAGUAUUUGAGAACAUGAGGUUUAUAACCAAUAAAACAAUGCUCUUAACUUAUUGACAGUAAGAUUUAGUGCUUGGCUCGGCAGAUCAAGACGGUCAGGGAGA